AUUGAACGCUGGCGGCAGGCCUAACACAUGCCAGUCGAGCGGAGCGGCGGACGGGUGAGUAAUGCCUAGGAAUCUGCCUGGUAGUGGGGGAUAACGUCCGGAAACGGGCGCUAAUACCGCAUACUAUCAGAUGAGCCUAGGUCGGAUUGGCUAGUUGGUGGGGUAAAGGCCUACCAAGGCGACGAUCCCUAGCUGGUCUGAGAGGGUGAGCAGCCACACGGGAACUGGGACACGGUCCCGACUCCUACGGGAGGCAGCAGUGGGGAAUAUUGCACAAUGGGCGCAAGCCGGAUGCAGCCAUGCCGCUUGUAUGAAGAAGGCCUUCGGGUUGGAAAGUACUUUCAGUUGUGAGGCGUUACCCGCAGAAGAAGCACCGGCUAACUCCGUGCCAGCCGCCGCGGUAAUAC
Molecule: ribosomal RNA, 407 nt
Filed under: uncultured bacterium
Lineage: Bacteria
Description: partial 16S ribosomal RNA
Rfam family: Bacterial small subunit ribosomal RNA
Source: RNAcentral